CAGCCGCCGCGGGAAUACGAAGGGGGCUAGCGUUGCUCGGAAUCACUGGGCGUAAAGGGUGCGUAGGCGGGUCUUUAAGUCAGGGGUGAAAUCCUGGAGCUCAACUCCGGAACUGCCUUUGAUACUGAAGAUCUUGAGUUCGGGAGAGGUGAGUGGAACUGCGAGUGUAGAGGUGAAAUUCGUAGAUAUUCGCAAGAACACCAGUGGCGAAGGCGGCUCACUGGCCCGAUACUGACACUGAGAGACGAAAGCUAGGGGAGCAGAUGGGAUUAGAUACCCGUGUAGUCCCUGUCUCUUAUAA
Molecule: ribosomal RNA, 301 nt
Filed under: uncultured bacterium
Lineage: Bacteria
Description: partial 16S ribosomal RNA
Rfam family: Bacterial small subunit ribosomal RNA
Source: RNAcentral